Molecule: ribosomal RNA, 528 nt
Filed under: Salmonella enterica subsp. enterica serovar Infantis
Lineage: Bacteria; Pseudomonadati; Pseudomonadota; Gammaproteobacteria; Enterobacterales; Enterobacteriaceae
Also listed under: 51 other names
Description: partial 23S ribosomal RNA
Rfam family: Bacterial large subunit ribosomal RNA
Source: RNAcentral
GGGUUGUGAGGUUAAGCGACUAAGCGUACACGGUGGAUGCCCUGGCAGUCAGAGGCGAUGAAGGGCGUGCUAAUCUGCGAUAAGCGCCGGUAAGGUGAUAUGAACCGUUAUAACCGGCGAUACCCGAAUGGGGAAACCCAGUGUGAUUCGUCACACUAUCAUUAACUGAAUCCAUAGGUUAAUGAGGCGAACCGGGGGAACUGAAACAUCUAAGUACCCCGAGGAAAAGAAAUCAACCGAGAUUCCCCCAGUAGCGGCGAGCGAACGGGGAGGAGCCCAGAGCCUGAAUCAGCAUGUGUGUUAGUGGAAGCGUCUGGAAAGGCGCGCGAUACAGGGUGACAGCCCCGUACACAAAAGCGCAUGUGCUGUGAGCUCGAUGAGUAGGGCGGGACACGUGGUAUCCUGUCUGAAUAUGGGGGGACCAUCCUCCAAGGCUAAAUACUCCUGACUGACCGAUAGUGAACCAGUACCGUGAGGGAAAGGCGAAAAGAACCCCGGCGAGGGGAGUGAAAAAGAACCUGAAACCGU